RNAcentral lists this ribosomal RNA (497 nucleotides) under uncultured bacterium. Its description in RNAcentral is "partial 16S ribosomal RNA". It matches the Rfam family "Bacterial small subunit ribosomal RNA", at positions 28 to 507 of the family's 1533-position model. The record is from RNAcentral.
GAUGAACGCUGGCGGCGUGCCUAAUACAUGCAAGUCGAGCGAACAGACGAGGAGCUUGCUCCUCUAACGUUAGCGGCGGACGGGUGAGUAACACGUGGAUACCCUACCUAUAAGACUAGGAUAACUUCGGGAAACCGGAGCUAGUACCGGAUAAUAUAUGGAUCCGCAUGGUUCAAUAGUGACAGACGGUUUUGCUGUCCCUUAUAGAUGGAUCCGCGCCGCAUUAGCUAGGUGGUAAGGUAACGGCUUACCAAGGCCACGAUGGGUAGCCGACCUGAGAGGGUGAUCGGCCACACUGGAAGUGAGACACGGUCCAGACUCCUAGGGGAGGCAGCAGUAGGGAAUCUUCCGCAAUGGGCGAAAGCCUGACGGAGGAACGCCGGGUGAGUGAUGAAGGUCUUCGGAUCGUAAAACUCUGUUAUUAGGGAAGAACAAAUGUGUAAGUAACUAUGCACGUCUUGACGGUACCUAAUCAGAAAGCCACGGCUAACUACGUG